RNAcentral lists this ribosomal RNA (434 nucleotides) under uncultured Lachnospiraceae bacterium. RNAcentral's name for it is "bacterial SSU rRNA". It matches the Rfam family "Bacterial small subunit ribosomal RNA", at positions 341 to 792 of the family's 1533-position model. Lineage: Bacteria; Bacillati; Bacillota; Clostridia; Lachnospirales; Lachnospiraceae. The record is from RNAcentral.
ACGGGAGGCAGCAGUGGGGAAUAUUGCACAAUGGGGGAAACCCUGAUGCAGCGACGCCGCGUGAAGGAAGAAGUAUCUCGGUAUGUAAACUUCUAUCAGCAGGGAAGAUAAUGACGGUACCUGACUAAGAAGCCCCGGCUAACUACGUGCCAGCAGCCGCGGUAAUACGUAGGGGGCAAGCGUUAUCCGGAUUUACUGGGUGUAAAGGGAGCGUAGACGGAAUAGCAAGUCUGAAGUGAAAUGUAGGGGCUCAACCCCUGAACUGCUUUGGAAACUGUUGAUCUUGAGUACCGGAGGGGCAGGCGGAAUUCCUGGUGUAGCGGUGAAAUGCGUAGAUAUCAGGAAGAACACCGGUGGCGAAGGCGGCCUGCUGGACGGUAACUGACGUUGAGGCUCGAAAGCGUGGGGAGCAAACAGGAUUAGAUACCCUGGUA